Long non-coding RNA from Bos taurus (domestic cattle), 357 nucleotides. Lineage: Eukaryota; Metazoa; Chordata; Mammalia; Artiodactyla; Bovidae. The record is from Ensembl.
GGAUGAAGAAAGUUAUUUUGAAUUCAUUUGCAAGCUCAGAAUUUUUUCACCUUGCUUGGAUCUGAGGUCAAAGUCUCCUGCAGACUGCACACUGUUUUUCACCAUCAGUCUGUGACGAAUAGGAACCUUCCAGGAGGUGUCGGUGAUCAGGAGGAGAUGGGUGCGAUCAGACAGCAGCUGGGCAAACAGGAAGGCACAGAGCGUGUGGCCACAAGGAUGCGGACGGACUGAGGGACCAGGCUUAGUGAGUGGUCCAUUCAGGAGGACAGUACGCAGCCAUCCUCAAAGUGGGCCAGGGGUGAGCACAGCAUGGAAUUGAGAACAGGAGAGCUUGCCUUCCUGUAAGUGAUAACGUGG